CUCUUCCCAUUCCGAACAGAGAAGUUAAGCCCCGUAACGCCGAUGGUACUGCUGAACUAAAAGUGGGAGAGUAGGUAGCUGCCGUUU
Molecule: ribosomal RNA, 87 nt
Filed under: Tannerella sp. oral taxon 808
Lineage: Bacteria; Pseudomonadati; Bacteroidota; Bacteroidia; Bacteroidales; Tannerellaceae
Source: RNAcentral